Anolis carolinensis (green anole) is the source of this 961-nucleotide long non-coding RNA. RefSeq lists it as uncharacterized. The record is from RefSeq and is a predicted model, not a curated record. NCBI's taxonomy places the organism in Eukaryota, Metazoa, Chordata, Lepidosauria, Squamata, Anolidae. The transcript is spliced from 2 exons.
CAUGGAAAGUAGAACCCACAGUUGUGCAAAGAUAAACACUGGCAUAAGGUUGCCAUAGGAAAGUUGAAAGAAUUAUUUCAGUUCUUUUCACAGAUUGUGUUUCAAGCACUGGACAGAAGAGCAAAGUGUUUAAAUAGCAGGGAAGGAAAAACUGCCAAGUAAAUGGUCAUGCGUUACCCUCCUCAUUAUUUGGGGCAUUGAAAAUAAAGGUUCAGAGGGUCGUAAACAUUCCCUUUCUGGCUACUUUUCUAAUGUGUACAAGUGACAAGUUAAUUUAAAAUAAACACAUUGGCAGGGCAUGUGAUUAUUUGUCCUAUUUUUUUUUCUUUAAAGGAACAAAACAAUGACACAAAUAGGAAAAGUAAACUGAGGCAUUCACCCUGUGCAUCUGUUUUCACUCAUUAAAUGUGAGAGAUCUAUUGCGCAGACCAAAAGAUCCCAGCUCCUUGCCUGACUAACCUAAUCAGAGAUGGCUGACGCAGCGCACAGUCAGCAAAAAGACAUCUGAAGCUGUUCAUUCAUGCAACGGGGCAGAGUACACUGCUGCCCAAACUCAUCAUCAUAAACUCUCUUUCCCCCAGACUUGAAGCCUGCCUGCUCUGACCCUUUAAAAUUUGGAUUUAUUCUAUUCUGUUCUAAGGGCAGCACUUAGAAAAGUUGCCUCUUCGAGUCACAGAUCUUAGAAACCAGCUAUUGGCAUCAACAUGGUCUCUAGUGGUCGGAGAUUUGAGGAGUUAUAGUCCCAAAAGACCAACAAACACAUCUAGCAAGGAGCAGCAAAAACUGAAAUGCAGUGUUUCCGGGCAUGAGAUUUACUCUUUGAUAUUUCAAAACAUCAUUGAAGAGGAAAAGAACAUGCCCUGAGAUGGGUUUCUCUCCAGACAAUUGCCAGGUUCUCGGCAGCCCCUCAUAGAACAAAAAUGCUUUACUGAACCCAAAUAAAAACCUGUGUUCAAGGCAA